GAGAAAGAGGAAGGUGUUUUUUUCUUCACUUUAUAAAGCUCCCUUGGAGCCAGAGUCCAGUUUUUAUCCCGACCACCUGAGUGGUGGUAUGGUCGCUCAUGCUCAGCCGCCAUUCUCUUGUUUAAGUUUCACCGAUAUGUACCGGUAGAUGGCUUGUACUUAUCGUAACGUCGCUCUUCUGCAAAGUGCCAGUCCGAAAGUCAGUUAUUCGUUCUGCAAAACACUGAACAGAACUCAGUCUCCGGUGCUGCGAGUGCGAGUUGUUCGUUGAAAGCAUGAUGAUGAUGCACGAUGUAUUCCUUCGUCAUAGGCAUUCAUUCUCCUUCGAAGCUUCGAAGAGUCUCGUCAAGUUGUCGAAUGUGAAGGAAGCAGGCAGUCGAUAGCGGUGCUUUGUGGCCAAGCGGAGAGACACAGCAGCCAUUGUAAGCGGCUGCUGGUUUCCGUGUCUAUUUCACAGGGCAAGAGGAUGAGAACAUUGCCACAACGGCAGUAACUACCUUUCUGCACAUCAACCAUAUGAGUGCAGGUAGUAGAGGAGAAAGCAGCAAGCCAGCGAGAAACAAGCCGGCGAAGAAAAUUCAUGCGAAGAAAAUUCUAUAGUAUUAGCCAUCCCUAUCCCCGACCACCAUCCCCUACUGGAAUGAUUACUUUUAUAGCCUACCCUGGCUGUGAACUUCACACUUGAUGAGUGGCUAACCAACCACCCUGGCCCUCAGCCAAUGAGAGAACGACAGCCAGGGU
Sycon ciliatum is the source of this 741-nucleotide long non-coding RNA. RefSeq lists it as uncharacterized. The record is from RefSeq and is a predicted model, not a curated record. Lineage: Eukaryota; Metazoa; Porifera; Calcarea; Leucosolenida; Sycettidae. The transcript has 3 exons.